CCCCUAGAUGUUCUGGGCCGCACGCGCGCUACACUGAACAGUUCAACAAGUCUUAACCUUGGCCGAUAGGUCUGGGUAAUCUUUGAACGCUGUUCGUGAUUGGGAUAGACCUUUGCAAUUAUGGGUCUUCAACGAGGAAUUCCUAGUAAACGCAAGUCAUCAGCUUGCAUUGAUUACGUCCCUGCCCUUUGUACACACCGCCCGUCGCACCUACCGAUUGAAUGGUCCGGUGAAAUCUCGGGACGGCGGCUUGGUCGCUUGCGUCUGACUGCUGAAACUUGAUUAAACCAUNUNAUUUAGNGGAAGGUGAANUCGUANCA
RNAcentral lists this ribosomal RNA (320 nucleotides) under uncultured eukaryote. RNAcentral describes it as "partial 18S ribosomal RNA". It matches the Rfam family "Eukaryotic small subunit ribosomal RNA", at positions 1470 to 1796 of the family's 1831-position model. The record is from RNAcentral.